GAAUAUUGCACAAUGGGCGUAAGCCUGAUGCAGCGACGCCGCGUGGGGGAUGACGGCCUUCGGGUUGUAAACGCCUUUCGACAGGGACGAAGCGUUAUAGUGACGGUACCUGUAGAAGAAGCACAGGCUAACUACGUGGCCGCAGCCGCGGUAAUAGGUAGGGUGCGAGCGUUGUCCGGAAUUACUGGGCGUAAAGAGCUCGUAGGGGGGUUGUCGCGUCGUCUGUGAAAUCCCGGGGCUUAACCUCGGGCGUGCAGGCGAUACGGGCAUAACUUGAGUGCUGUAGGGGAGACUGGAAUUCCUGGUGUAGCGGUGAAAUGCGCAGAGAUCAGGAGGAACACCAAUGGCGAAGGCAGGUCUCUGGGCAGUAACUGACGCUGAGGAGCGAAAGCAUGGGUAGCGAAC
RNAcentral lists this ribosomal RNA (405 nucleotides) under uncultured bacterium. RNAcentral's name for it is "partial 16S ribosomal RNA". It matches the Rfam family "Bacterial small subunit ribosomal RNA", at positions 359 to 773 of the family's 1533-position model. The record is from RNAcentral.